Lathyrus oleraceus (garden pea) is the source of this 450-nucleotide long non-coding RNA. RefSeq lists it as uncharacterized. The transcript has 2 exons. Lineage: Eukaryota; Viridiplantae; Streptophyta; Magnoliopsida; Fabales; Fabaceae. The record is from RefSeq and is a predicted model, not a curated record.
AAAUGAGAUAAGUCUAAAAUAUAAGAUAUACAAAUUCCACAGAAAAAAUGGCAUUUAACAACUAUCGAUCCUAUCUUCUCUUUGUUUCAUGCAUUGCUUUGGUCUUGUUUUCAAGAUUGGUUACUAGUUUGGGGACUCCAGCAAUAGUUUUAGAUGAAUCAUGCGCCCCGGGGUCGCCAGAUGCACAGUGUUGUUCUGGGCUUUGUUCUCCUACCUGCGAUCAAGACUGUAAGGGCAAGGGAUUUUCAUUUGGUGGAUUUUGUGAUACUCUAGGUGUUGAUUACCUAUGUUGUUGUUUUAAGCAAUGACUUCUGUUCCUCAAAUAUAUACUCUAGGUGUUGAUUACCUAUGUUGUUGUUUUAAGAAAUGACUUAUGUACGUCAAAAAUAUGAAUAUAAGGUUGUUCAUCAAACUCUUAGUUUUAUAAAAUAUAAAUUUUAAUGAAUAUAA